This 495-nucleotide ribosomal RNA is filed under the name uncultured bacterium. RNAcentral describes it as "partial 16S ribosomal RNA". It matches the Rfam family "Bacterial small subunit ribosomal RNA", at positions 28 to 507 of the family's 1533-position model. The record is from RNAcentral.
GAUGAACGCUGGCGGCGUGCCUAAUACAUGCAAGUAGAACGCUGAAGGAGGAGCUUGCUCUUCUGGAUGAGUUGCGAACGGGUGAGUAACGCGUAGGUAACCUGCCUGGUAGCGGGGGAUAACUAUUGGAAACGAUAGCUAAUACCGCAUGACAACAGUUAUUGCAUGAUAACUGUUUAAAAGGGGCAACUGCUCCACUACCAGAUGGACCUGCGUUGUAUUAGCUAGUUGUUGAGGUAACGGCUCACCAAGGCGACGAUACAUAGCAGACCUGAGAGGGGGAUUGGCCACACUGGGAGUGAGACACGGCACAGACUGCUACGGGAGGCAGCAGUAGGGAAACUUCGGGAAUGGAUGGAAGACUGACCGCGAAACGCGGAGGGAGUGAAGAAGGUCUUCGGGUCGGAAAGCUCGGUUGUAAGGGAAGAACGAGCGUGAGAGUGGAACGUUCCCACUGUGACGGUAUCUGAUAAGAAAGGGCCGGCUAACUACGUG